RNAcentral lists this long non-coding RNA (467 nucleotides) under Olea europaea subsp. europaea. The record is from RNAcentral. Lineage: Eukaryota; Viridiplantae; Streptophyta; Magnoliopsida; Lamiales; Oleaceae.
CUUCUUGCAUUGAGGGACCUCUUUGAUCCUUUACUUCGACAGCAUCUAGGGUUCCUCGAACAAUGUGAUAUCUUACACCGAGUAAAUCCUUAACCCUUCUCCCUCUUACUAAGAUUGAAGAACGUUCUUGUAAAUUAUGGCCAAUACCGGGUAUAUAAGCAGUGAUUUCAAAUCCGGAGGUUAAUCAUACUUUGGCAACUUUACGUAAGGCAGAGUUUGAUUUUUUUGGGAUGAUAAUGGAAAAGUUGACAGAUGAAUCAACCUUACUGCCACUCUAAAGAACCGUACAUGAGAUUUUCACCUCGUACGGCUCUUCGUUCAAUUCUUUCGAAUUCAUUGGAUCCUUUUCCGUGUUCGAGAAUCCUCUCCCGUCUUCUACUCUAUCCUGAAGAGUAACUAGGACCAUUUAGUCAUGUUUUCAUAUUCCAAUUGAACACUUUCCAUUUUUGAUUAUUUUCAAAGGAUUU